GCCUGGGGAGUACGGUCGCAAGGCUGAAACUUAAAGGAAUUGACGGGGGAGCACCACAACCGGUGGAGGCUGCGGUUUAAUUAGAUCCAACGCAGAGCACUCUACCAGAGCCGACAGCAGAAUGAAGGUCAGCUUGAAGAGCUUACCCGACGCGCUGAGAGGAGCUGCAUGGCCGCCGUCAGCUCGUGCUGUGAAGUGUCCGGUUAAGUCCGGUAACGAGCGAGACCCACAUCUCAUGUUGCCAUGGAUCCGUUCGCGGAUUCGGCACUCGUGAGAGACCGCUGGUGAUAAACCAGGGGAAGGUGUGGGCCACGGUAGGUCAGUAUGGCCCGAAUGCUCUGGGAUACACGCGGCCUACAAUGACCGGGACAAAGAGAUGCGACUCCGAGAUGGAGAAGCUAAUCUCCUAAACCCGGCCUUAGUACGGAUCGAGCCCUGCAACCCGGGCUCGUGAAGGCGAAAUCGGUAGUAGUCGCUAAUCAUCAUUUAGCGGCGAAUAAGUCCCUGCUCCUUGUACACACUGCCUGUCAAGUCACCCGAGUCAGGUUCAGACGAGGACCACUCUUUGAGUGAGACAAGUCUGAGCUUGGCAAGGGGGGCUAAGUCGUAACAAGGUAGCCGU
This 622-nucleotide ribosomal RNA is filed under the name uncultured archaeon. RNAcentral describes it as "bacterial SSU rRNA". It matches the Rfam family "Archaeal small subunit ribosomal RNA", at positions 826 to 1450 of the family's 1478-position model. The record is from RNAcentral.